CGCGGCCUAUCAGCUUGUUGGUGGGGUAACGGCCUACCAAGGCAUCGACGGGUAGCUGGUCUGAGAGGACGAUCAGCCACACUGGGACUGAGACACGGCCCAGACUCCUACGGGAGGCAGCAGUGGGAAUAUUGCGCAAUGGGCGAAAGCCUGACGCAGCAACGCCGCGUGGGGGAUGAAGGCUUUCGGGUUGUAAACCCCUUUCAGUGAUGACGAAAAUGACGGUAAUCACAGAAGAAGCCCCGGCCAACUACGUGCCAGCAGCCGCGGUAACACGUAGGGGGCAAGCGUUGUCCGGAUUUAUUGGGCGUAAAGAGCUCGUAGGCGGUUGCGUAAGUCGGAUGUGAAAACUCAGGGCUCAACCCUGAGAUGCCAUUCGAUACUGCGCUGACUAGAGUCCGGUAGAGGAGCAUGGAAUUCCUGGUGUAGCGGUGAAAUGCGCAGAUAUCAGGAGGAACACCAGUAGCGAAGGCGGUGCUCUGGGCCGGUACUGACGCUGUGGAGCGAAAGCAUGGGUAGCAAACAGGAUUAGAUACCCUGGUAGUCCAUGCCGUAAACGUUGGGCACUAGGUGUGGGACCUACUUAACGGGUUCCGUGCCGUAGCUAACGCAUUAAGUGCCCCGCCUGGGGAGUACGG
This 638-nucleotide ribosomal RNA is filed under the name uncultured bacterium. RNAcentral describes it as "bacterial SSU rRNA". It matches the Rfam family "Bacterial small subunit ribosomal RNA", at positions 232 to 885 of the family's 1533-position model. The record is from RNAcentral.